UACGUAGGGGGCUAGCGUUGUCCGGAAUUAUUGGGCGUAAAGAGCGUGUAGGCGGUUCGGUAAGUCUGCUGUGAAAUCCUGGGGCUCAACCCCGGGCGUGCAGCGGAUACUGCCGGGCUAGAGGGUGGUAGAGGCGAGUGGAAUUCCCGGUGUAGCGGUGAAAUGCGCAGAUAUCGGGAGGAACACCAGUAGCGAAGGCGGCUCGCUGGGCCACACCUGACGCUGAGACGCGAAAGCGUGGGGAGCGAACAGG
RNAcentral lists this ribosomal RNA (253 nucleotides) under uncultured bacterium. RNAcentral's name for it is "partial 16S ribosomal RNA". It matches the Rfam family "Bacterial small subunit ribosomal RNA", at positions 524 to 776 of the family's 1533-position model. The record is from RNAcentral.